Molecule: ribosomal RNA, 253 nt
Filed under: uncultured bacterium
Lineage: Bacteria
Description: partial 16S ribosomal RNA
Rfam family: Bacterial small subunit ribosomal RNA
Source: RNAcentral
UACGUAGGGACCGAGCGUUGUCCGGAAUCAUUGGGCGUAAAGAGCGUGUAGGCGGCUGGGUAGGUCCGUUGUGAAAACUCGAGGCUCAACCUCGAGACGCCGAUGGAAACCCUCCAGCUAGAGUCCGGAAGAGGAGAGUGGAAUUCCUGGUGUAGCGGUGAAAUGCGCAGAUAUCAGGAAGAACACCCGUGGCUAAGGCGGCUCUCUAGUACGGUACUGACGCUGAGACGCGAAAGCGUGGGGAGCGAACAGG